AUACGUAGGUGACAAGCGUUAUCCGGAUUUACUGGGCGUAAAGCGCGUGUAGGCGGUCUUGCCAGUCAGAUGUGAAAUUCCUCAGCUCAACGCGGGCGCUGCUUCUGAAACUGCAGUACUUGAGUGCUGGAGGGGAUAGCGGAAUUUGUUGUGGAGCGGUCAAAUGCGUAGAGAUUCGAAGGAACACCGGUGGCGAAGGCGGCUAUCUGGACUGCAACUGACGCUGAGACACGAAAGCGUGGGGAGCAAACAGGAUUAGAUACCCUGGUAGUCCACGCCCUAAACGAUGGGCACUAAGUGUGGGAGGUAUCGACCCCUCCCGUGCCGCACCUAACGGAGUAAGUGCCCCGCCUGGGGAGUACGGCCGCAAGGUUGAAACUCAAAUGAAUUGACGG
Molecule: ribosomal RNA, 395 nt
Filed under: uncultured bacterium
Lineage: Bacteria
Description: partial 16S ribosomal RNA
Rfam family: Bacterial small subunit ribosomal RNA
Source: RNAcentral